ACUUUCUUACUUCCUUUGGCAUUGCUGGCAUUUGUCAAAUUGCCAAAAAAAAAAAAAAACUUUCUACAAUGGAUGUUAAUGUCUUUGAUCACUCAAAGACAGAGGUUGAUGAGGAAGCAUUCGACUACCUGUUGACAUGACAAGACCUUGGACCGAUGGUGAAAAUCUUGGUAGCACAUUUGACAAAUGAACAUGGAAAAAGCCCUUCCUGUAGUUUAAAGGAAGAAUCUGCGAAGAGAAUCAUCUCCCUAUUCCUAUGCUUGGUUGACCCCAGGAGCAAGUUUCGUUAUGUUGGAACAGCAAAUUGUCUUCCAUUUUAAUGCCGGUUCACCUUUUGCCACCCUCUCAAGUCACCGCCACGUAAGACCGGGAAAGAUCUCAGCUAGGCAAACGUGAUCGUCUUGUGAAAUUCAUCAAGACUGUUACCAGUAUCCAAGGGCAGUUGGAUGGCAUUCGAGAGAGUCUCCAGCUGUAUCUACUUGUUGUUGGGCUGAUGAGAAGUAGGGUCCAGUCUUGUUUUAUUGUAAUUGUCCAAUAUGCUCUACUCUGUAAGACCUGUCCAUUGUGUAUAGCUUUCUGCAAAACACUGUCUAUGAUAUAGAUGCAGAAACCACCAAAUGAUCAUGAUCACAAGUGUAAUAUUGUAAAUGUAAGUGUAUUAUUUAAAUAGGAGAUUGAAAAAAUAAAAUUGUGAGACAUGAGUA
Labeo rohita (rohu) is the source of this 704-nucleotide long non-coding RNA. RefSeq lists it as uncharacterized. Lineage: Eukaryota; Metazoa; Chordata; Actinopteri; Cypriniformes; Cyprinidae. The transcript has 4 exons. The record is from RefSeq and is a predicted model, not a curated record.